Molecule: ribosomal RNA, 253 nt
Filed under: uncultured bacterium
Lineage: Bacteria
Description: partial 16S ribosomal RNA
Rfam family: Bacterial small subunit ribosomal RNA
Source: RNAcentral
UACGUAGGUGGCAAGCGUUGUCCGGAAUUAUUGGGCGUAAAGCGCGCGCAGGCGGUCCUUUAAGUCUGAUGUGAAAGCCCACGGCUCAACCGUGGAGGGUCAUUGGAAACUGGGGGACUUGAGUGCAGGAGAGAAGAGUGGAAUUCCACGUGUAGCGGUGAAAUGCGUAGAUAUCGGGAGGAACACCAGUGGCGAAGGCGGUUGCCUGGAGCUUUGCUGACGCUGAUGCGCGAAAGCGUGGGGAGCGAUCCGG